UACGGAAGGCAGCAGUGGGGAAUAUUGCACAAUGGGCGCAAGCCUGAUGCAGCCAUGCCGCGUGUAUGAAGAAGGCCUUCGGGUUGUAAAGUACUUUCAGUCGUGAGGAAGGUGUUAAGGUUAAUAACCUUAGCAAUUGACGUUAGCGACAGAAGAAGCACCGGCUAACUCCGUGCCGGCAGCCGCGGUAAUACGGAGGGUGCGAGCGUUAAUCGGAAUUACUGGGCGUAAAGGGCACGCAGGCGGUUAAUUAAGUUGGAUGUGAAAUCCCCGGGCUUAACCUGGGAAUGGCAUUCAAGACUGGUUAGCUAGAGUCUUGUAGAGGGGGUAGAAUUCCAUGUGUAGCGGUGAAAUGCGUAGAGAUGUGGAGGAAUACCGGUGGCGAAGGCGGCCCCUGGACAAAGACUGACGCUCAUGUGCGAAAGCGUGGGGAGCAAACAGGGAUUAGAUACC
This 453-nucleotide ribosomal RNA is filed under the name uncultured bacterium. RNAcentral's name for it is "bacterial SSU rRNA". It matches the Rfam family "Bacterial small subunit ribosomal RNA", at positions 340 to 786 of the family's 1533-position model. The record is from RNAcentral.